Molecule: ribosomal RNA, 807 nt
Filed under: uncultured bacterium
Lineage: Bacteria
Description: bacterial SSU rRNA
Rfam family: Bacterial small subunit ribosomal RNA
Source: RNAcentral
CGGCGUGCUAUACAUGCAAGUCGAGCGGACAGAUGGGAGCUUGCUCCCUGAUGUUAGCGGCGGACGGGUGAGUAACACGUGGGUAACCUGCCUGUAAGACUGGGAUAACUCCGGGAAACCGGGGCUAAUACCGGAUGGUUGUUUGAACCGCAUGGUUCAAACAUAAAAGGUGGCUUCGGCUACCACUUACAGAUGGACCCGCGGCGCAUUAGCUAGUUGGUGAGGUAACGGCUCACCAAGGCGACGAUGCGUAGCCGACCUGAGAGGGUGAUCGGCCACACUGGGACUGAGACACGGCCCAGACUCCUACGGGAGGCAGCAGUAGGGAAUCUUCCGCAAUGGACGAAAGUCUGACGGAGCAACGCCGCGUGAGUGAUGAAGGUUUUCGGAUCGUAAAGCUCUGUUGUUAGGGAAGAACAAGUACCGUUCGAAUAGGGCGGUACCUUGACGGUACCUAACCAGAAAGCCACGGCUAACUACGUGCCAGCAGCCGCGGUAAUACGUAGGUGGCAAGCGUUGUCCGGAAUUAUUGGGCGUAAAGGGCUCGCAGGCGGUUUCUUAAGUCUGAUGUGAAAGCCCCCGGCUCAACCGGGGAGGGUCAUUGGAAACUGGGGAACUUGAGUGCAGAAGAGGAGAGUGGAAUUCCACGUGUAGCGGUGAAAUGCGUAGAGAUGUGGAGGAACACCAGUGGCGAAAGGCGACUCUCUGGUCUGUAACUGACGCUGAGGAUCGAAAGCGUGGGGAGCGAACAGGAUUAGAUACCCUGGUAGUCCACGCCGUAAACGAUGAGUGCUAAGUGUUAGGGGG